GUGCGUUUAGCUUAACGGUAAAGCCGCGUCCUCAUAAGACGUUUUAUGCAGGUUCAAUCCCUGUCGCGCACACCA
This 75-nucleotide transfer RNA is filed under the name Robiginitomaculum sp. RNAcentral describes it as "tRNA-Met". It matches the Rfam family "tRNA". From Rfam's summary of the family: Transfer RNA (tRNA) molecules are approximately 80 nucleotides in length. The record is from RNAcentral. Lineage: Bacteria; Pseudomonadati; Pseudomonadota; Alphaproteobacteria; Maricaulales; Robiginitomaculaceae.